Molecule: ribosomal RNA, 434 nt
Filed under: uncultured Clostridium sp.
Lineage: Bacteria; Bacillati; Bacillota; Clostridia; Eubacteriales; Clostridiaceae
Description: partial 16S ribosomal RNA
Rfam family: Bacterial small subunit ribosomal RNA
Source: RNAcentral
ACGGAAGGCAGCAGUGGGGAAUAUUGCACAAUGGGCGAAAGCCUGAUGCAGCGACGCCGCGUGAGUGAAGAAGUAUCUCGGUAUGUAAAGCUCUAUCAGCAGGGAAGAAAAUGACGGUACCUGACUAAGAAGCCCCGGCUAACUACGUGCCAGCAGCCGCGGUAAUACGUAGGGGGCAAGCGUUAUCCGGAUUUACUGGGUGUAAAGGGAGCGUAGACGGUUUGGCAAGUCUGAAGUGAAAUGCGGGGGCUCAACUCCUGAACUGCUUUGGAAACUGUCGAACUAGAGUGCAGGAGAGGUAAGUGGAAUUCCUAGUGUAGCGGUGAAAUGCGUAGAUAUUAGGAGGAACACCAGUGGCGAAGGCGGCUUACUGGACUGUAACUGACGUUGAGGCUCGAAAGCGUGGGGAGCAUACAGGAUUAGAUACCCUGGUA